AUGAGUGAUGCUACUUGGGAUGAUGCUCAAUUAGGUAGAGGACACAUCAAUGGUGGGGUAGCCGUAGGCAUAGCUAAUAGGUGGAGUCGGAGAAGAUGUACAUAUGAUGGUGAUGUGAGCACAUACAUAGGAGUGAAGCUAGCCAAGAUACAACAAGCUUGCUGCAAGAAGAGGAAUGGAAGAGGAUUUGGAGGAGAGGAGAUGGGGGCCAUGGUAUAA
RNAcentral lists this ribosomal RNA (219 nucleotides) under Triticum aestivum (bread wheat). Its description in RNAcentral is "partial small subunit ribosomal RNA". Lineage: Eukaryota; Viridiplantae; Streptophyta; Magnoliopsida; Poales; Poaceae. The record is from RNAcentral.